Molecule: long non-coding RNA, 147 nt
Organism: Hibiscus syriacus
Lineage: Eukaryota; Viridiplantae; Streptophyta; Magnoliopsida; Malvales; Malvaceae
Exons: 4
Source: RefSeq, a predicted model, not a curated record
UUAACACAAUGUUCCAAUCUUUCACACAAAAAUACCAAUAAAAAAUAAAAAUUCCAUCAACCAAGCUCUUGCUUCCUAUUCUAAAUAUACAUGACUUGUAAUUCUAACAACAAACAGUUAGAAUCAGAAAAAAAAAAUAAUAGCCUA